GACGAACGCUGGCGGCGUGCUUAACACAUGCAAGUCGAGCGGAAAGGCCCUUCGGGGUACUCGAGCGGCGAACGGGUGAGUAACACGUGAGUAACCUGCCCCAGACUUUGGGAUAACCCUCGGAAACGGGGGCUAAUACCGGAUACGACACAGCUUCGCAUGGGGUCUGUGUGGAAAGUUUUUCGGUUUGGGAUGGGCUCGCGGCCUAUCAGCUUGUUGGUGGGGUGAUGGCCUACCAAGGCGACGACGGGUAGCCGGCCUGAGAGGGCGACCGGCCACACUGGGACUGAGACACGGCCCAGACUCCUACGGGAGGCAGCAGUGGGGAAUAUUGCACAAUGGGCGGAAGCCUGAUGCAGCGACGCCGCGUGAGGGAUGACGGCCUUCGGGUUGUAAACCUCUUUCAGCAGGGACGAAGCGUAAGUGACGGUACCUGCAGAAGAAGCGCCGGACAACUACGU
RNAcentral lists this ribosomal RNA (461 nucleotides) under uncultured bacterium. RNAcentral describes it as "partial 16S ribosomal RNA". It matches the Rfam family "Bacterial small subunit ribosomal RNA", at positions 28 to 506 of the family's 1533-position model. The record is from RNAcentral.